RNAcentral lists this ribosomal RNA (429 nucleotides) under Gemmatimonadota bacterium. RNAcentral describes it as "Gemmatimonadetes bacterium partial 16S ribosomal RNA". It matches the Rfam family "Bacterial small subunit ribosomal RNA", at positions 355 to 776 of the family's 1533-position model. Lineage: Bacteria; Pseudomonadati; Gemmatimonadota. The record is from RNAcentral.
UAGGGAAUCUUCGGCAAUGGACGAAAGUCUGACCGAGCAACGCCGCGGGAGUGAAGAAGGUUUUCGGAUCGUAAAACUCUGUUGUUAGAGAAGAACAAGGACGUUAGUAACUGAACGUCCCCUGACGGUAUCUAACCAGAAAGCCACGGCUAACUACGUGCCAGCAGCCGCGGUAAUACGUAGGUGGCAAGCGUUGUCCGGAUUUAUUGGGCGUAAAGCGAGCGCAGGCGGUUUCUUAAGUCUGAUGUGAAAGCCCCCGGCUCAACCGGGGAGGGUCAUUGGAAACUGGGAGACUUGAGUGCAGAAGAGGAGAGUGGAAUUCCAUGUGUAGCGGUGAAGUGCGUAGAUAUAUGGAGGAACACCAGUGGCGAAGGCGGCUCUCUGGUCUGUAACUGACGCUGAGGCUCGAAAGCGUGGGGAGCAAACAGG